This 492-nucleotide ribosomal RNA is filed under the name uncultured bacterium. Its description in RNAcentral is "partial 16S ribosomal RNA". It matches the Rfam family "Bacterial small subunit ribosomal RNA", at positions 29 to 507 of the family's 1533-position model. The record is from RNAcentral.
AUUGAACGCUGGCGGCAUGCUUUACACAUGCAAGUCGAACGGUAACAGGCCUUCGGGUGCUGACGAGUGGCGAACGGGGGAGUAAUGCAUCGGAACGUACCCAGAGGUGGGGGAUAACGCAGCGAAAGCUGUGCUAAUACCGCAUGUGAUCUGAGGAUGAAAGCGGGGGACCGAGCAGCAAUGUUUGGCCUCGCGUCUUUGGAGCGGCCGAUGUCGGAGUAGCUAGUUGGUAGGGUAAAGGCCUACCAAGGCGACGAUACGUAGCUGGUCUGAGAGGACGACCAGCCACACUGGAACUGAGACACGGCCCAGACUCCUACGGGAGGCAGCAGUAGGGAAUUUUGGACAAUGGGCGCAAGCCUGAUCCAGCAAUGCCGCGUGCGGGAAGAAGGCCUUCGGGUUGUAAACCGCUGUUGGCAGGAACGAAACGGUGUCCGCUAAUACCGGGCGCUAAUGACGGUACCUGCAGAAUAAGCUCCGGCUAACUACGUG